CCUUAUCCUCUCUGCAAGCUUCUUCCCCAUCUCCGUAACCCUGAAAAAAAUUCAGUGCUUUAAAUGCUACGUGAAACACAUUUUGUUAGUUAAGGAGAAUAAAAUAGACGUGGGUUUAGGGAAGCCACCAUUGUUAACACUGGCAACACAAAUAUUGGAGAGAAGGACAGGUAAAAGGAAUGUGUACAGAGUAUAUUCGAAAAGCUUCCCAUUGAUCCGCCUUCUUGCUAGCAUUCGAAGUUUGCUUCCAGUUAUGUCGCGAAAGGAGCCCUAAUUUAAGUCUUGCUAGCGGGGAGAUCGACUCCGGGUUGCUCUUUGUUCGUGUUUGAAUUCUUGGCACAGAAAGGAACAGUUGCUAUUGGUGGGAGUCGGCUUUUUAGGGUUUCAUAAGGGAAAAUCCUUGUAGAAUUCACGGUCCAUGGAGAUGGUGGUUGGGCUCUGGUUCUCGACUGCGGCGGUGGGUCUCAAAUCUGCCUCUUUGGUCGCGAAUGGAGUGUUUUCGGCAGUUGGUUUGGCGGGUAUCCAUGGUGUCGUGGAGAGCUCCGAUCAGUGUAUUAGCGGCUGAGGGCUUCAGAGGUUUCUUUGCUUGAAGACUUGCCUAGCCAAAGGAACUGACAUGUGUCAUAUCCGGCGGUGAUGUCAUGUGGAGGCUUGUUGUGUCACAAAAUCGCAGUUUUCGUCCAUGGCUUCUCUGGUAUGAUGCGUGCAGCUUCCUUCUCAUCUGACUUUCUUCUUCCUGGUGCUUAUGUCUGGUUCAUUGCUGAAGCCCUGUCGACGGGUUUCUUUGGUUAUUCAGGUCAUGUCGUUAUUUGGUUCUGUUUCGUUGUCACGGGGACUUUUAUCUUGGUUUCCGAAUCCGGUUCUCGGAGGAGGUGACUGGCGUAAUCGUGGUUGACGCUUGAGUAUGUGUUCACCUCUUUCUUACAGUUACACUAGUCGGAGUGCCAUAUCCCAUUUCUGUUAGCCACGCUUGUUGCUCUUAGUAAUUUUCCUUUCUAACACCAUUUUUCAGGUCAUAGAGCUCUUCUCGGGUUAUGUGCAGAUGUAUUAUUUUUUCCGGUUUUAUGCAUUCCGUUAUUGACGGAGGAUAUCGUUCAAUUCUUCUGUUAGUGCAAGUUAGGUGAUGGAGACGAGACUGUACAAUCAAAUUCUUCACAAUCUUCGAUUUUGUGUAUUUCCCUCUCUCUUCUCUAUUUCGUGUGCGCUUCAAUGCUGGUAAUGAUAACAAGUUAGAAGAACACGUCGAAAGCUAGCUAACUCUGGAAACGACACGGAAAUUUUCGUCAUCCGAGGCAAGAAGGUCAAUCUCACCUUAUGUGAUCAUCGUCGAAAGUGGAGAACAGUAAUCGAUGCUUGAGGAUAUUAAAUCUGAACUAGCGAACGCGCCGGGAGUGAUGGGUCGAGCGAAGCUAGUUUAGGAAAUAAUUGAAUUGGGUGCUUUUUUUGUAAUUCAACUUGUAAUCGAACUUUUAUUCCCGUCUUUCGGGUUGAUAUUUAAUAAAUUUAAUUUAAAAUAAUAAUAAUAUUAACCCAGAGAAAAAAUCCAA
Long non-coding RNA from Brassica napus (rape), 1547 nucleotides. RefSeq lists it as uncharacterized. The record is from RefSeq and is a predicted model, not a curated record. NCBI's taxonomy places the organism in Eukaryota, Viridiplantae, Streptophyta, Magnoliopsida, Brassicales, Brassicaceae. The transcript has 2 exons.